GACGAACGCUGGCGGCGUGCCUAAUACAUGCGAGUAGAACGCACAGUUUAUACCGUAGCUUGCUACACCAUAGACUGUGAGUUGCGAACGGGUGAGUAACGCGUAGGUAACCUGCCUGGUAGCGGGGGAUAACUAUUGGAAACGAUAGCUAAUACCGCAUAAUAUUAAUUAUUGCAUGAUAAUUAAUUGAAAGGUGCAAUUGCACCACUACCAGAUGGACCUGCGUUGUAUUAGCUAGUAGGUGAGGUAACGGCUCACCUAGGCGACGAUACAUAGCCGACCUGAGAGGGUGAUCGGCCACACUGGGACUGAGACACGGCCCAGACUCCGACGGGAGGCAGCAGUAGGGAAUCUUCGGCAAUGGACGAAAGUCUGACCGAGCAACGCCGCGUGAGUGAAGAAGGUUUUCGGAUCGUAAAGCUCUGUUGUAAGAGAAGAACGGGUGUGUGAGUGGAAAGUUCACACUGUGACGGUAUCUUACCAGAAAGGGACGGCUAACUACGUG
Molecule: ribosomal RNA, 505 nt
Filed under: uncultured bacterium
Lineage: Bacteria
Description: partial 16S ribosomal RNA
Rfam family: Bacterial small subunit ribosomal RNA
Source: RNAcentral